UUUUUUCCAUUUAGCCAGCAUUAGGGUUUUAAAUCAUAAACUGAGUUUUUCCAUGCAAUCAGCAUUAGGGUUUUAAACCCUAAACUGAAUUUUCCCUUAGUCAGCAUUAGGGUUUUAAACCCUAAACUGAAUUUUUCCAUUCAGCCAGCAUUAGGGUUUUAAACCCUAAACUGAAUUUUUCCUUUAGUCAGCAUUAGGGUUUUAAACCCUAAACUAAACUUUUUCCCCUUCAGCCAGCAUUAGGGUUUUAAACCCUAAACUGAACUCUUUCCCUUUAGUCAGCAGUUAGGGUUUUAAACCCUAAACUGAACUUUUUCCUUUAAUCAGCAUUAGGGUUUUAAACCCUAAACUGAACUUUUCCUUUUAGUCAGCAUUAGGGGUUUUAAACACUAAACUGAACUUUUUCCAUUCAUCCAGCAUUAGGGUUUUAAACCCUAAAUUGAACUUUUUCCAUUCAGCCAGCAUUAUGGUUUUAAACCCUAAACUAAGCUUUUUCCUUUAGUCAGCAUUAGGGUUUUAAACCCUAAACUGAGCUUUUUCCUUUAGUCAGCAUUAGGGUUUUAAACCCUAAACUGAACUUUUUCCAUUCAGCCAGCAUUAGGGUUUUAAACCCUAAACAGAGCUUUUCCAUGCAAUCAGCAUUAGGGUUUUAAACCCUAAACUGAACUUUUUUCCAUUCAGCCAGCAUUAGGGUUUUAAACCCUAAACUGAGCUUUUCCAUGCAAUCAGCAUUAGGGUUUUAAACCCUAAACUGAGCUUUUCCAUGCAAUCAGCAUUAGGGUUUUAAACCCUAAACUGAACUUUUUCCUUUCAGUCAACAUUAGGGUUUUAAACCCUAAACUGAACUUUUUUCCAUUCAGCCAGCAUUAGGGUUUUAAACCCUAAACUAAGCUUUUCCAUGCAAUCAUCAUUAGGGUUUUAAACCCUAAACUGAAUUUUUCCUUUAGUCAGCAUUAGGGUUUUAAACCCUAAACUGAGUUUUUCAAUGCAAUCAGCAUUAGGGUUUUAAACCCUAAACUGAACUUUUUUCCAUUUAGCCAGCAUUAGGGUUUUAAACCCUAAACUGAGCUUUUCCAUGCAAUCAGCAUUAGGGUUUUAAACCCUAAACUGAACUUUUUUCCAUUCAGCCAGCAUUAUGGUUUUAAACCCUAAACUGAGCUUUUCCAUGCAAUCAUCAUUAGGGUUUUAAACCCUAAACUGAACUUCUUCCUUUAGUCAGCAUUAGGGUUUUAAACCCUAAACUGAACUUUUUUCCAUUCAGUCAGCAUUAGGGUUUUAAAACCUAAACUGAACUUUUUCCUUUAAUCAGCAUUAGGGUUUUAAACCCUAAACUGAACUUUUUUCCAUUUAGCCAGCAUUAGGGUUUUAAACCCUAAACUGAGCUUUUCCAUGCAAUUAGCGUUAGGGUUUUAAACCCUAAACUGAACUCUUUCCUUUCAGUUAGCAUUAGGGUUUUAAACCCUAACUGAACUUUUUUCCAUUCAGCCAGCAUUAGGGUUUUAAACCCUAAACUGAGCUUUUCCAUGCAAUCAGCAUUAGGGUUUUAAACCCUAAACUGAACUUUUUUCCAUUCAGCCAACAUUAUGGUUUUAAACCCUAAACUGAGUUUUUCCAUGCAAUCAUCAUUAGGGUUUUAAACCCUAAACUGAAUUUUUCCUUUAGUCAGCAUUAGGGUUUUAAACCCUAAACUGAACUUUUUUCCAUUCAGUCAGCAUUAGGGUUCUAAACCAUAAACUGAACUUUUCCUUUAGUCAGCAUUAGGGUUUUAAUCCCUAAACUGAGUUUUUCCAUGCAAUCAGCAUUAGGGUUUUAAACCCUAAACUGAACUUUUUUCCAUUUAGCCAGCAUUAGGGUUUUAAACCCUAAACUGAGCUUUUCCAUGCAAUCAGCAUUAGGGUUUUAAACCCUAAACCGAACUUUUUCCAUUCAGCCAGCAUUAGG
RNAcentral lists this long non-coding RNA (1941 nucleotides) under Nicotiana tabacum (common tobacco). Its description in RNAcentral is "long non-coding RNA (NTAB_LNC012796)". The record is from RNAcentral. Lineage: Eukaryota; Viridiplantae; Streptophyta; Magnoliopsida; Solanales; Solanaceae.